UCUGAAGCAGAAUAAGCACAAAGAUGACAACUGACUCAAGAUGCAGAACUUGGAAAUGUUUGGUUUUGGACUAUAGCUCCUAUUGUUCCCUUACCCCAUGGUCGGUGGCCCUGCUUGCUGAGGGCAUUUGGCGGUUACUGUCCCAAAAAAGAAUCUUCCUUCUCUGUUUAAGGUCCCUGAAAGACAAAUCUUAGAAUGAGAAGAGCUGGAGGAAGAAGAAGGAAAAAAAGAUAUUCUCCAAAGACCCACCUUGAGUGACAACACAAAUGUCUGAAAACUCACCAGCUAAUCACUGAUUUGGGUUUUAAAUACUGAGGGAAUUGGAAACUGAUGACCUGGCAACCUUGUUACCUCUUAUCCUACAAAUGAAAACAUUUCCACAAGCCCAAGAUUCUUUUUUUAUAUGUAGUUUUUAAAAAACUGAUGACACAAAAACAUGAAUAUAAUACAAUAAUACAAAAAAGUGGGACCAUCUGGCGAUAUAACCAAUUUUUCCUCCAUUACAGAGCUCCAUUCCUGCUCCAAAACUGCAUUGAUUCUUGUGAAGGUAGAAGCCCGACCCUUUUGAAAACACAAACUCAGUAAAUUCUCCCCAUAUAUUGACAGAGCUAUUCUUCUGUAGCAAUCCCCUUUUAAUGUUCAUAUUACAACUUAAUUUACCAUUAAUAGACAUAUUCCAAACUUCUUCAUACCAUUAAUU
This 700-nucleotide long non-coding RNA is filed under the name Pogona vitticeps (central bearded dragon). Its description in RNAcentral is "lncRNA (ENSPVIG00000008875.1)". The record is from RNAcentral. Lineage: Eukaryota; Metazoa; Chordata; Lepidosauria; Squamata; Agamidae.